This is a long non-coding RNA of Heterocephalus glaber (naked mole-rat), 2652 nucleotides long. RefSeq lists it as uncharacterized. NCBI's taxonomy places the organism in Eukaryota, Metazoa, Chordata, Mammalia, Rodentia, Bathyergidae. The record is from RefSeq and is a predicted model, not a curated record.
UAGAAUUGGGAAUGGCCACCUAUCCAUUGCAUAGGAAGGAUCAAAUGGGCAGUAAUGGCCCCACCCAUUUCAAGGAAUUCUUUGCAGUACUUAAAAAGAAUGAAGAUAAUUCGUCAGGUUAGAAAACAUAUGUACACUAUAUCAUUUAUGUUUAACAAGUUAGAGCAAUUAUGUACACAUAUUUAUGAAUAGGGGUAUAGAAAAGGACAUGGGUCUACAUACAUCACACUAUCUUUAGAGGGAGAUGUUGGAUUGUUGGUAUGAUAGUCAAGAGGGGAUUUAUCUGUAAAAUUUAGACUUGUAUUCCUGUAUUAUAUAAUUAAAAAUUUUUUAAAGGCUUUUAGUAAAAUGAAUGUUUAGGAAAAAGAAGCAAGUGGGAAAAGAAUCACUCCACGUGACAGAGAGACAGGUGAGUUUUGUGCCAGGCUGGGUAACAGUUUCAGGAUGGGCCCUGAAGAACUGGCUCCUCUCUCGCUGUAGUCCUAGGAUGGACAUGCUGCCCAGAGCAUUGAGGCCUUGCCCACUCCCUGGCCAAGUGACAAGUGUGCCACACCACAGCAAGCACAAAAGGAGAACAAGUUCCCUUCAACUAACUACUACUCUCUCCUUGGCCUCAGGCCUUGCUUGAUUCACGUGCUCCAAGGGCUGUGUCCACAUCUGCUCCCACACCUUGGGCAGUGGCCUCUGUGACAGCCACAAGUUGCUCUGAGUUCCUGUACAAUGUAAGCAGUGUAAAUCCUUAUACAGCUGUCCUUGGGUCACUAUGGGGGACUAGCUCCAGGACCCUGCAAGUCCCUUAUAUAAAAUGGUGCACUAUUUACAUACACAUCCUCCCUUAAACUUUAAAUCACCUCUAGAUUACUGGUAAUACCUAAUACAAUGCAAAUGUUAUGUAAAUACUUGUUACUCUGUAUUGUUUGGGGCCUAGUAACAAGAAAAAAGUCUGUAUAAAUCCAGUAGUAAUGAUUUUUAAAAUUUGUAUUUAUUUUUGCAGUACUGAGAAUUGAACCAAGGACUUUUGCACUGAGCUACAACCCCAGUCUUUUUUUAAUUUUUAAAUUCUGAGAUGAGGUCUUCAUAAGUUGCCCAGUCUGGGCUAGAACUUGUGAUCCUUCUGCCUCAGCCUCCCAGAGGGCUGGCAUUACAGGAGUGCACCAUCAAGCCUGCUUCAUGCAAUUAAAAAAAAAGUUCUGAUCCAAAGUGAAACCCACGGACGCAGAAUGUGUGGAUGUGGAGGGCCAGUGAUGUUACAGGAAGAAGUGGUGACUUGUCCAUUCUCUGCUGGGGCCAGCUUUCCUCCACCUAUUGCUCUGGGAGCAGGAAGAAGGGCAGACAAUGGGGGAGGAGAACGUUGGACCAAAGUGGCUGUCCUACUUUGUAGCCUUGCAUUUCUAGCACAGUGAGAAGUGGAAGCUGUCAGGAGAAAGGGACAGUGGCUUGGAGUCAUCAUUUACCCAGAAAAUCAAAUGAACACAAAUUAAGAAAAUUUGUUGCCAGAAGACCAGCCUUGCAGGACAUAUUAAAAGAAGUUCUUCAAAGAGAAGGAAAAUGAUAUUGGUCAGGAAUUUGGGUCCACAUGGAGACAAAAGAACACUGGAGAAGACAUAGCUAAAGCCACCAGGUAUGAGGCUGAAACCUGGAGAAGGGAACAAGAGGACAGGACCAUACCCUCCAAUAAAAUAAUAUCCAGAGUGCAGGACUAGAGGGGGAAAAGUCAUCACAUGACUGCAGGAAAGGGUUGAUGUGUGGAGAACAUGAACAAUGAGGGAAGGAUCCCACCUCAAGUUUACCUAGCUAGCUAGCCCUGAACUUCCAAAGACGUAAGUCAUUUCCUGCUUUUUGUUUCAGUCUUCAUCUGUCAGAUUUAUUCUUCCAGUUCAUUUCACAAACAUUCUUGGAGUGCUUCCUGUGUGGCAAGCUCUGUCCUGGGCACUGAGGGAAGGCCUAGAGGCCAAAGGAUCUCAGUUACCAGGAAAAACAAAGAAUGAGCAGAAGAGCAUAUUGAUCUAGUAUCUUUCCUAUUCAGGCAAUAUGAUAGACAAAAGGGACAAAUGAUUAGUGAAAACUAGUGCUAAAUACUAAAGCUUAUGAUCUUAGUAGGAUUCACUAGGAAACCUAAAAAUCUUCUCACUUAAAACACCUAGAAAUUCUGGAUAAAAUAUACAAUAAUCCCUCCCUUAUCCACCAUUUUCCUUUCCACAAUUUCAGUUACCUAUGGUCAACCACUGUCUAAAAAUAUUAAAUGGAAAAUUCCAAAAAUAAACAAUUUAUAAAUUUUAAGUUGCGCAACACUCUGAGUAGGAUAAGAUCUCUGGCAGCUCCUUCCUGCCCAGAAUGCAAAUCAUCCCUUUGUCCAGAGUAUCCAUGCUCCAUACACUACCGCCCAGUUAAUCACCUAGGAGUCAUCUCAGUUAUCAGAUUGACUGUCACAGUCUUUCGGUGCUUGUGUUCAGAUAAUCCUUAUUUUACUUAAUAAUGGCUCCAAGUUUCAAGAAUAACAUUACUGGCAGUUGGAUAUACCAAAGAGAAGCUGUAAAAGCUCUUCCUUGGGGCCAGGGAUUUAGCUCAGUGAUUCUGGAGCCUGCCUUGCAAGUGCAAGGUCCCGAGUUCGAUCCCCUGUCCUAAAAAAUAAAAGUGCUUCCUUUAAGUCAA